GGGGAGCGAACGGGAUUAGAUACCCCGGUAGUCCUAGCCGUAAACGAUGUGGACUUGGCGUCGGUGGGUUCAAAUCCGCCCGGUGCCGCAGCUAACGCGCUAAAGUCCACCGCCUGGGGACUACGGCCCGCAAGGGUUAAAACUCAAAGGAAUUGGCGGGGGCCCGCACAAGCAGCGGAGCGUGUGGUUUAAUUCGAUGCUACACGAAGAACCUUUACCCGGGUUUGACAUGCAGGUAGUAGGGAACUGAAAGGGGACCGACCCUUCGGGGAGCCUGCACAGGUGCUGCAUGGCUGUCGUCAGCUCGUGUCGUGAGAUGUCCGGUUAAGUCCGGUAACGAGCGCAACCCCUGCUGGAUGUUACAAGUGUCAUCCAGGACUGCCGGUUUAGUGCCGGAGGAAGGCGGGGAUGACGUCAAGUCAGCAUGGCCUUUAUAUCCGGGGCUACACACACGCUACAAUGGCCAGUACAAUGGGUCGCAAAGCCGCAAGGUAGAGCCAAUCCCCAAAACUGGUCUCAGUUCAGAUUGCAGGCUGCAACUCGCCUGCAUGAAGUCGGAGUUGCUAGUAACCGCGCGUCAGCUAUAGUGCGGUGAAUACGUUCCCGGGCCUUGCACACACCGCCCGUCACGUCAUGGGAGCUGGCAACACCUGAAGCCGGUAUCCGAACCGUAAGGAAGGAGCCGUCGAAGGUGGGGCUGGUGACUGGGACGAAGUCGUAACAAGGUAGGUGUACCGGAAGGUGCGGCUGGAUCACCUCCUU
This 762-nucleotide ribosomal RNA is filed under the name uncultured bacterium. RNAcentral describes it as "bacterial SSU rRNA". It matches the Rfam family "Bacterial small subunit ribosomal RNA", at positions 763 to 1532 of the family's 1533-position model. The record is from RNAcentral.